AUGAAUGACAGUCUCCAGCAUAACAUGCAACAUUAUAUAUUACAGUGGGACUUGACUACAAGAACACUCAGUGCUGCUGAGAAGAUCCAACAGGAAGCAAGAAAGGAGAAAGAUGAAGUAGAUAACCUAAAGGAUGAGAAUGAGAUUCUCCGAGAUGCCCUAAGAUGUUGUACAAUACAAUUGGAGUCAGCUACUAACAAGCUUGAGGCUGCUGAGAAGGAGAUAGAGCGAAAGGAAAAAGAGGUGAGCAUAGCAAAGAAUUAAAUGCUGAGAAAUCAUUCAUCAAGUUGCCAAGUUUCACAGAAGAGAUCUCACUCCAUUAUGGAAAGAAAAUGAAUUAUGGUGUCUCUGGUCUCUGUAAAGCACAGAUGCAUCACUAACAGAUUUCUCAAGGACUUCUCUGUUGGCUUCCAGUAUCUCUGUUCCCUUACAAUUUUUAUCUUUUUAAAAUUUUACACUCAUAUUGCCAUUUCUCUGUAUUCUGACUUCUUAAGUUCUUAGCCUGAAUUCUGGGCUUUUUAGUAACUCCCUCAUGUCCCCUGAAUCCAUAUUCUGUCCCUUCUCCAGAAAGUAAAGAUUUCUCUGGAUGGAAGAGCAAAAAGUUUCAUUUUAGGAAGACCAAUUUGGAUUAGAUAGUUAGACAUCAUCCAGUUUUGAGUUUCUCAACACUAAUUUCUAGAGUCAAGGUCCAUGAACUUCCAUGAUAAUAGCUUUUCCAAAUCCAAAAUUUUGGCCAUUACAAUGGAUGGAAAAAAAUUACAGCAUUGAAAGACAACUGAUACUCUGCAUGUGUGGGUGGCUGGUGCUGACCUGCUGAAGAAAGAAAGCCAACUAUAAGCAUGGUUAGGUUUCCUUCCUGCUGAUACAAAGAUGCCUAAUGGCUUAAUCAACAAAACUUUGGGCAAAAUGGCUUUGGCAAACUCCGAAGCACCAGAAGACAGAUCUGUACAAUCAUUUUCUUAUUUAGCUAAUCACUUUUUUUACAUUCAUUGAGGCAAAGUUAAUUUGUUCCUCCCAGUAGAGAACAAUUUAAGAAAAUAUAGAUUUCAAGGGGCAGCUAACUGGCACAGUGGAUCGAAAGUCAGGUGUGAUGACAAGAGUUCCUGGGUUCAAAUCUGGCCUCACGCACUUUCCAGCUAUUUGACACUGGGCAAGAAAUUUAACUUCAGCUACCUACCCUUACUGCUGUUCUGCCUUGAAACAAAACUCAGCAAUGAUUCUAAUACAGGAGCUAAAGGUUUAAGAAAAUGAUGGAUUUCAUAAA
Molecule: long non-coding RNA, 1264 nt
Filed under: Monodelphis domestica (gray short-tailed opossum)
Lineage: Eukaryota; Metazoa; Chordata; Mammalia; Didelphimorphia; Didelphidae
Description: lncRNA (ENSMODG00000048828.1)
Source: RNAcentral